Molecule: ribosomal RNA, 497 nt
Filed under: uncultured bacterium
Lineage: Bacteria
Description: partial 16S ribosomal RNA
Rfam family: Bacterial small subunit ribosomal RNA
Source: RNAcentral
GAUGAACGCUGGCGGCGUGCCUAAUACAUGCAAGUCGAGCGAACGGACGAGAAGCUUGCUUCUCUGAUGUUAGCGGCGGACGGGUAAGUAACACGUGGAUAACCUACCUAUAAGACUGGGAUAACUUCGGGAAACCGGAGCUAAUACCGGAUAAUAUUUUGAACCGCAUGGUUCAAAAGUGAAAGACGGUCUUGCUGUCACUUAUAGAUGGAUCCGCGCUGCAUUAGCUAGUUGGUAAGGUAACGGCUUACCAAGGCAACGAUGCAUAGCCGACCUGAGAGGGUGAUCGGCCACACUGGAACUGAGACGCGGUCCAGACUCCUACGGGAGGCAGCAGUAGGGAAUCUUCCGCAAUGGGCGAAAGCCUGACGGAGCAACGCCGCGUGAGUGAUGAAGGUCUUCGGAUCGUAAAACUCUGUUAUUAGGGAAGAACAUAUGUGUAAGUAACUGUGCACAUCUUGACGGUACCUAAUCAGAAAGCCACGGCUAACUACGUG